UGGGGCGUAGCUCAGUGGUAGAGUAGGUGCUUAGCAUGUAUGAGGUCCUGGGUUCAAUCCCCAGCACCUGAA
RNAcentral lists this transfer RNA (72 nucleotides) under Heterocephalus glaber (naked mole-rat). It matches the Rfam family "tRNA". Rfam says of the family: Transfer RNA (tRNA) molecules are approximately 80 nucleotides in length. Their secondary structure includes four short double-helical elements and three loops (D, anti-codon, and T loops). Lineage: Eukaryota; Metazoa; Chordata; Mammalia; Rodentia; Bathyergidae. The record is from Rfam by way of RNAcentral.